Lycium ferocissimum is the source of this 2220-nucleotide long non-coding RNA. RefSeq lists it as uncharacterized. The record is from RefSeq and is a predicted model, not a curated record. The transcript has 2 exons. Lineage: Eukaryota; Viridiplantae; Streptophyta; Magnoliopsida; Solanales; Solanaceae.
UCUUUUUUUUUUUAAAAAAACAGUGCUAACGAGCAAGAAAUGGAUGAGCUAAUUUUUUAAGUUCUUCACUAGACUAUUACAUCAGGUAAACUGUAAACUCUUCACCAUUCAGUAGAAUAACAAUUUAAUUGUAAGCUGUUCAUUUUAUUCGUAAUGAAAUGAUUUAUAAUAAUUCAUGUUUACCUGAUUUUAGAUAACAAUUUUUUUUAAAAACUCCCUAUCCAAUUAAAUAACAUCACAUAAAUUGGAAGGGAGGGAAUACUACUAUUGUGAUAUAGUAUUAUCUGCAUUAUUCACAAGGACGCCUUUAGCAUUCUCUGGUUAUUUGAGAGAGUUUAUAACAAACUAGUUAUAAGACACAGAAGUACCAAAAUAUUAAUAAUAAUAAUAACAUCCCCAUGUGACUUGUGAGACUGAAAUGAAAAACUAGUCCCACAUCGCAAUAGGAAAUGAACUUUUAUCUCAUUUUGAAGGAAUGUGAGAGAGGACUUAACGCCGAGCUCAGUAAUGUGGGCUUGUAACUCAAAUGGGGGCAUUAAUGUGGUGGAAUGUUGGGCUGUCCCAUAAGGUAGGGCUUGGAGGGCUUAGUUUCUGGCCUGCCCUGUCCAAGCGUAGAGUUGGGUCACGUAGCCCAAGCGAAGGCAUGUGCUUCUUGAUCCCUAAAGUUGGGCGGACUGCGUGAGGCUGGUUUCACAGAGCAACGAUUAGCUUCCGCUCUGUGCAGUGGAAGGAUAACAGGCCGGUGUUCUCCAAGUCCAUAAAUGCCUCAUGGGCUUCUCCAAUUAAACCACCACUUUUUUGCUUAUUUGGUUGGCCUAUCCCCGACACUUGAAUCUAGCAGAAGGUGGGGCGGACUGCCUGAGGCUGGUUUCACAGAGCAACGAUCAGCUGUCGCUCUGUGCAACGAUCAGCUGUCGCUCUGUGCGGUGGUAGGAUAAUUGGCGGUGUUCUCCCCGAGUCCAACAAAUGCCUCAUGGGCUUCUCCAAUUAAACCACCACUUUUUUGCUUAUUUGGUUGCCUAUCCCCGACACUUGAAUCUAGCAGAAGGUGGGGCGGACUGCCUGAGGCUGGUUUCACAGAGCAACGAUCAGCUGUCGCUCCGUGCAGUGGUAGGAUAAUUGGCCGGUGUUCUCCAAGUCCAACAAAUGCCUCAUGGGCUUCUCCAAUUAAACCACCACUUUUUUGCUUAUUUGGUUGGCCUAUCCCUGACACGUGAAUCUAGCAGAAGGUGGGGCGGACUGCCUGAGGCUGGUUUCACAGAGCAACGAUCAGCUAUCGCUCCGUGUAGUGGCAGGAUAAUUGGCCGGUGUUCUCCAAGUCCAACAAAUGCCUCAUGGGCUUCUCCAAUUAAACCACCACUUUUUUGCUUAUUUGGUUGGCCUAUCCCCGACACUUGAAUCUAGCAGAAGGUGGGGCGGACUGCCUGAGGCUGGUUUCACAGAGCAACGAUCAGCUGUCGCUCUGUGCAACGAUCAGCUGUCGCUCUGUGCAGUGGUAGGAUAAUUGGCCGGUGUUCUCCAAGUCCAACAAAUGCCUCAUGGGCUUCUCCAAUUAAACCACCAUUUUUUUGCUUAUUUGGUUGGCCUAUCCCUGACACGUGAAUCUAGCAGAAGGUGGGGCGGACUGCCUGAGGCUGGUUUCACAGAGCAACAAUCAGCUGUCGCUCCGUGUAGUGGCAGGAUAAUUGGCCGGUGUUCUCCAAGUCCAACAAAUGCCUCAUGGGCUUCUCCAAUUAAACCACCACUUUUUUGCUUAUUUGGUUGGCCUAUCCCCGACACGUGAAUCUAGCAGAAGGUGGGGCGGACUACUUGAGGCUGGUUUCAUAGAGCAACGACCAACUCCCACUCCAAGCAGUGGAAGGAUAACGGGCCGGUGUUCUCCAAGUCCAACAAAUGCUUCAUGGGCUUCACCAAUUAUACCACCACUGUUGUACUUAUUUGGACUUAGCCCAGUCUAUCCCGACCUAAAUAUAUCAGAAGGAAAUUAUUUAGGGAAAAUUACGCUCUAAGUCUAUUUUUAAAAAUAUUUAUGCCACGUAGAUUAUACUUUGUGUAUAAACACCCAAUUUUCCCCAUAGUUGUGUAUAAACACACUUUAUACAAGGUUGAUACAUUAUGUAUAAUGCUUUUCCCCACAGGUAUAAUGUAGUAUAAUAUUGUAAAUUGGGCUACGUGGCAUAAUUUUUUUCAAAAACUGUAUAAUAUUGAAAUUUUUCCAUA